This is a long non-coding RNA of Olea europaea var. sylvestris, 1640 nucleotides long. RefSeq lists it as uncharacterized. The record is from RefSeq and is a predicted model, not a curated record. The transcript is spliced from 4 exons. NCBI's taxonomy places the organism in Eukaryota, Viridiplantae, Streptophyta, Magnoliopsida, Lamiales, Oleaceae.
AGGGGGCCCUACCAAAUUUUGGCUGAAGAACGAGCUAGAGAACCAGGAAAUAUAUUCUUUAGAAUGGAUUUGGCUUUCUUUUUCUUUUAUUAUGCGAGUGCAUUUGCUUAAGCUUCCUGGCUGCAGUAGUUCUUGCUUCACAUAAAUGGUGUACCUACAACUUAUGCCCUUUCAAAAUAUUAUUACCUUGAGAAAAAUGGAGGAGUUUGACAGUAGAAAGUUACAGAUUUCCCUUAAAUCUGAAGAUUAUUUUGUAGGUCUAAGAAAAAUAUAUCCCUGAAUAUGUUAACCUAGAAGAUGGUAAAAAAAAUAUCUUCCUGAAUGUGUAGUACUGCUAACAAACAGACAAAUGGGUAAGUACAAGAUAAUAGAAAGUGUCCGAUUUGUCUUGCUGCCUGAAGAUUAACUUUUAGGCUAACAUAUCAGUGUAUAUGGUGAUAUACAAGAUAGUCAAAAAUAUUUACCUGAAUGUGGAGAGUACUGAAUUAAAAAUGAAUGAAUAAAUGGAUUAUAAGCUUAUUCAUUUCAUCUUAUAGAUCUCCAAUCGGUUUGCAAGGAUACAACCAAUAUGAAGGCCGCCAAGUCAUCCAAUAUUCUAGAAUAUUCCACUUAGUCAGCAAAGGGGCAAAAGGGUAAUAGGAAUAUAAUAAAAUGUCUAUAAAUGUGAUAGGGGGAAUGUAGUGAAUUCUGUUUAGAAAAGUGGGGAGAGAUCAAGGCCUCUUGAAUGCCUUGGAUUAUGUUUAAUUUCAUGCCUUUCAUUCCAGUUUAUAUCAAUAAAAAUAAUCUAUUUUUACAAUAUACAAUUCCAUUAACUCCAUAGACAUCAUCUUGCAGUCACAUUACAAUUUCAGUGUUCAAUCCCACAAAUUAGUGUAGCAACCAGUUCCAGCUACUAUUCCUCUGGAUCAGCAGCCAGAAUCUGCAGUUUAACAACCAUAUCAGCCAGGAACCUAUCAUCAUCAUCCAUGUUAAUUUCCAAUCCAUGCCUGAUGAGUGCAGAUGCAGCCAAAUUGGUUCUCAUGUUUUUAACUGAGCUUUGAAUUUAUUUCCCCUCCUCCAUAUUGUCUUUUUUCUUCAUCUCUGUCUUCUUAUUCUUCUUACAAUUUGAGGUUCUGAUUUGUCUUUUGCUUCUAUAGUUGCUGAAUCUUUUGCAUUUUGGAAAGAAUGUAUAUAGCCUCAAUUAUGCUUUCUAGGAACAGCAAUCAAUUAAUGUGGACUUAAUAUCUUGGACCAGGUUGUAAGAGACAAGCGGACGGGCAAAACCAAGGGCUAUGGAUUUGUUAGUUUUUCCAACCCUUCAGACCUUGCUGCAGCACUUAAAGAAAUGAAUGGGAAAUACGUUGGAAAUCGACCAAUCAAACUUCGUAAGAGCACCUGGAGAGAGAGGACUGAUGCUGAAGCCUUGGAAAGACAAAAGAACCAGUCUCAGAAGAAGAUGAAGCUGCCAAAAAAGAGUGUGUUGCACAAAUGACAGACCAGUCAAUAGCAAUGUUGAUCAAGGUCACGAAGUGGGGACAAUUUGAAGAUUUGAUUGUGUAUUGAAUAUUAUUACGUUGCGUUUGCUUUUGUAUGCACAAAUUCUUGAAUUUAGUUAUAAAGGAAUUGAAGGAUGAAAUAUAUUGGUCUUAUGGUUGAUUCAA